This 2318-nucleotide ribosomal RNA is filed under the name Mycoplasmoides pneumoniae. RNAcentral's name for it is "bacterial LSU rRNA". It matches the Rfam family "Bacterial large subunit ribosomal RNA", at positions 109 to 2448 of the family's 2925-position model. Lineage: Bacteria; Bacillati; Mycoplasmatota; Mycoplasmoidales; Mycoplasmoidaceae. The record is from RNAcentral.
GAUUUCCGAAUGGAGCAAUCCGGUAGUUGGAAACAGCUAUCAUUAAUUGAUGAAUAAAUAGUCAAUUAAAGCAAUACGUGGUGAAGUGAAACAUCUCAGUAGCCACAGGAAAAGAAAACGAAUGUGAUUCCGUGUGUAGUGGCGAGCGAAAGCGGAACAGGCCAAACUUAUCAUUAGAUAGGGGUUGUAGGGCUUGCAAUGUGGACUUGAAAACGAUAGAAGAAGCUGUUGGAAAGCAGCGCGCAAAAGGGUGAUAGCCCCGUAUUUGAAAUUGUUUUCAUACCUAGCGAGAUCCCUGAGUAGCUCGGAAAACGUUAUUUUGAGUGAAUCUGCCCAGACCAUUGGGUAAGCCUAAAUACUAAUUAGUGACCGAUAGCGAAACAGUACCGUGAGGGAAAGGUGAAAAGAACCCAGAGAUGGGAGUGAAAUAGAUUCUGAAACCAUAUGCCUACAACGUGUCAGAGCACAUUAAUGUGUGAUGGCGUGCGUUUUGAAGUAUGAGCCGGCGAGUUAUGAUAGCAAGCGUUAGUUAACCAGGAGAUGGGGAGCUGUAGCGAAAGCGAGUUUUAAAAGAGCGUUUGUUUGUUAUUAUAGACCCGAAACGGGUUGAGCUAGUCAUGAGCAGGUUGAAGGUUGAGUAACAUCAACUGGAGGACCGAACCGACUCUCGUUGAAACGAUAGCGGAUGACUUGUGAUUAGGGGUGAAAUUCCAAUCGAAAUCCGUGAUAGCUGGUUCUCGUCGAAAUAGCUUUAAGGCUAGCGUGAGAUCACAAAUAAGUGGAGGUAAAGCUACUGAAUGUAUGAUGGCGCCACCUAGGCGUACUGAAUACAAUUAAACUCUGAAUGCCAUUUAUUUUAUUCUCGCAGUCAGACAGUGGGGGAUAAGCUUCAUUGUCAAGAGGGGAAGAGCCCAGAUCAUUAAAUAAGGUCCCCAAAAUAUACUAAGUGGAAAAGGAUGUGAAAGUGCUAAAACAGCAAGGAUGUUGGCUUAGAAGCAGCCAUCGUUUAAAGAGUGCGUAACAGCUCACUUGUCGAGUGUUUUUGCGCCGAAGAUGUAACGGGGCUAAGUAUAUUACCGAAUUUAUGGAUAAGAUUUAUAUCUUGUGGUAGACGAGCGUUGUAUUGGAGUUGAAGUCAAAGCGUGAGCAUUGGUGGAUCCAAUACAAGUGAGAAUGCCGGCGUGAGUAACGCUUGGGAGUGAGAAUCUCCCAAACCGAUUGACUAAGGUUUCCUGGACCAGGGUCGUCCUUCCAGGGUUAGUCUGGACCUAAGCUGAGGCUGAAAAGCGUAGGCGAUGGACAACAGGUUAAUAUUCCUGUACUUACAGUUAGACUGAUGGAGUGACAAAGAAGGUUUUCCACCCCCAUAAUUGGAUUUGGGGAUAAAUCAUAAGGUGGUACAAUAGGCAAAUCCGUUGUGCAUAACAUUGAGUGAUGAUGUCGAGUGAAUGAGUGAUCAAGUAGCGAAGGUGGUAUUAAUCAUGCUUUCAAGAAAAGCUUCUAGGGUUAAUCUAGCUGUAACCAGUACCGAGAACGAACACACGUAGUCAAGGAGAGGAUCCUAAGGUUAGCGAGUGAACUAUAGCCAAGGAACUCUGCAAAUUAACCCCGUAAGUUAGCGAGAAGGGGUGCUUAUGUAAAAGUAAGCCGCAGUGAAGAACGAGGGGGGACUGUUUAACUAAAACACAACUCUAUGCCAAACCGUAAGGUGAUGUAUAUGGGGUGACACCUGCCCAGUGCUGGAAGGUUAAAGAAGGAGGUUAGCGCAAGCGAAGCUUUUAACUGAAGCCCCAGUGAACGGCGGCCGUAACUAUAACGGUCCUAAGGUAGCGAAAUUCCUAGUCGGGUAAAUUCCGUCCCGCUUGAAUGGUGUAACCAUCUCUUGACUGUCUCGGCUAUAGACUCGGUGAAAUCCAGGUACGGGUGAAGACACCCGUUAGGCGCAACGGGACGGUAAGACCCCGUGAAGCUUUACUGUAGCUUAAUAUUGAUCAGGACAUUAUCAUGUAGAGAAUAGGUAGGAGCAAUCGAUGCAAGUUCGCUAGGACUUGUUGAUGCGAAAGGUGGAAUACUACCCUUGGUUGUGUGCUGUUCUAAUUGGUAACUGUUAUCCAGUUUCAAGACAGUGUUAGGUGGGCAGUUUGACUGGGGCGGUCGCCUCCUAAAAGGUAACGGAGGCGUACAAAGGUACCUUCAGUACGGUUGGAAAUCGUAUGUAGAGUGUAAUGGUGUAAGGGUGCUUGACUGUGAGACAUACAGGUCGAACAGGUGAGAAUCAGGUCAUAGUGAUCCGGUGUCCAGUAUGGAAUGGCCAUCGC